UGACAGCCCUUUUCUCACAGAGUUAUUGUGU
Molecule: non-coding RNA, 31 nt
Filed under: Homo sapiens (human)
Lineage: Eukaryota; Metazoa; Chordata; Mammalia; Primates; Hominidae
Source: RNAcentral